This 373-nucleotide ribosomal RNA is filed under the name uncultured organism. RNAcentral describes it as "bacterial SSU rRNA". It matches the Rfam family "Bacterial small subunit ribosomal RNA", at positions 526 to 896 of the family's 1533-position model. The record is from RNAcentral.
CGGGGGGAGCAAGCGUUGUUCGGAUUUACUGGGCGUAAAGGGCGCGUAGGCGGCCACCGCAAGUCGACUGUGAAAUCUCCGGGCUUAACCCGGAAAGGUCAGCCGAUACUGCGGGGCUAGAGUGCAGAAGGGGCAACUGGAAUUCUCGGUGUAGCGGUGAAAUGCGUAGAUAUCGAGAGGAACACCUGCGGCGAAGGCGGGUUGCUGGGCUGACACUGACGCUGAGGCGCGAAAGCUAGGGGAGCGAACGGGAUAGAUACCCCGGUAGUCCUAGCCUUAAACGAUGAAUGCUUGGUGUCUGGGGUUUUAUAGUCCCCGGGUGCCGUCGCUAACGCUUUAAGCAUUCCGCCUGGGGAGUACGGUCGCAAGACUG